GAUGAAGAACGUAGCGAAAUGCGAUAAGUAGUGUGAAUUGCAAAAUUCAGUGAAUCAUCGAAUCUUUGAACGCACAUUGCGCCCCUCGGUAUUCCGUGGGGCAUGCCUGUUCGAGCGUCAUUUAACCCCUCAAGCCUAGCUUGGUAUUGGGUGCUUGUCCCGCCUCUCGCGCGGCGACUCACCUCAAAGUCAUUGGCAGCCCGCAUCUCGCCGGCCGUGAGCGCAGCACAGACGCGCUCUUGGCAACGACAGAUCGGCUCUCCAAAAGCUUAUUUCAACCACUGACCUCGGAUCAGGUAGGGAUACCCGCUGAACUUAAGCAUAUCAAUAAGCGGAGGA
Molecule: unclassified non-coding RNA, 339 nt
Filed under: soil metagenome
Description: partial contains 5.8S ribosomal RNA, internal transcribed spacer 2, and large subunit ribosomal RNA
Rfam family: 5.8S ribosomal RNA (bases 1-120)
Source: RNAcentral